RNAcentral lists this long non-coding RNA (201 nucleotides) under Capra hircus (goat). Its description in RNAcentral is "lncRNA (ENSCHIG00000007405.1)". Lineage: Eukaryota; Metazoa; Chordata; Mammalia; Artiodactyla; Bovidae. The record is from RNAcentral.
AUUCAACAAAAAGUUCAACCUAAUAUGCUGAUGCUGACAAUGAAAGACCAGUAAGACAAUAUCGACAUGGACAUCCAGGUAUUUAGUCACUACACAUCUCUUCAAGCAAUUUAAAAAGGCAAAGUUGCCAACCAGCAAGAUGAUUUUCUAACUUUGGGUAUACCUCCACCCAAUGGCCAAGUGCAAUAUAGACAUCAGGGA